RNAcentral lists this ribosomal RNA (487 nucleotides) under uncultured bacterium. Its description in RNAcentral is "bacterial SSU rRNA". It matches the Rfam family "Bacterial small subunit ribosomal RNA", at positions 28 to 507 of the family's 1533-position model. The record is from RNAcentral.
GACGACGGCUGGCGGGCGUGGAUUAGGCAUGCAAGUCGAACGGUAUCAUCCUUCGGGGGUGAGAGAGUGGCGAACUGGUGAGUAACACGUAGGUUAUCUACCCUCAAGACGGGGACAACCCAGGGAAACUUGGGCUAAUACCGGAUGUGAGCAACUUUUAGUUGUUUGAAAGGUGGCGUAAGCUGUCGCUUGGGGAUGAGCCUGCGUCCUAUUAGUUAGUUGGUGAGGUAACGGCUCACCUAGGCAAUGAUAGGUAGGCGGCCUUAACGGGUGGUCGCCCACACUGGGAUUGAGAUACGGCCCAGACUCCUACGGGAGGCAGCAGUCGAGAAUAGUCUACAAUGGUCGGAAGACUGAUAGUGCGACGCCGCGUGAACGAUGAAUCCCUUCGGGGUGUAAAGUUCUUUUAUAUGUGAGCAGUGCUUCUUAUAUUAACAGUAUGGGGAGAGAGAUAUUAGCAUAUGAAUAAGCAACGGCUAACUCCGUG